GAGGAGACCAAGAGGAAAGGAAAAGUAACCAAAAAUUAAAGACACUGUGAGUUGAGAUAUUGAAUUUUUAUAUGUAACUCUUACUUCCUCAGAUGACUGACCCAGAAGGGAUGAUCAGUGGAUAGAGGACAUAAUAACUAUGAUACAGAUACAUGCUCUGACUCCAAACCUUGCCCAAGGUCACCUUCUUUCACUCAAUUCAUUGAAUCUAUUUAUUGAAUCCCUACUAUGGGCUUCAAUAGUAGGCAGUAGAGCUACACCUGUGAAGACAGUUUCUGCUUUUCUGGAGGUAAUAUGCUAUUAGGUUGGAAGAUAGAUAUGUGUGUGCAACAGAGACACACUGGGGGGGGUGGUGACAGACCAUAUAAUUUUGGAUGGUGAGUGGCAGGAGGAAAAUAAACCAGUGAUGCAUCUGGAGGAGUGACUAUGGGCUGCUUUAGGUUAAGUGACCGCUGAGCUGAGCCCUGAGCUACAAGGAGCACUCCCUACCUUCAUUAAGAUCUAGAAGAGUGUUAAAGACUGUUAACAGCUGGUACCAAGACUCUAAAGAGAGUAUCAAUCUCCAUGACCUCAAGGGACAGAAAAACCAGAGAAUCAUAAUUGAGGGUGAUACAGGAUGAGACCAGAUAUGUGUGGCCAGAUAAUGUAAUGUAGGCCUUUAUAUGUAAGGACUUGGAUUUUAUUCUAAAUAUGGGAAGCCAGGGAUGAUUUAUAAGCAGAUUUAUUUAAAAAGCUCUAGCCGCUCUACAGGAAUGAAUUGUAGGUGGCAAGAGUGGAAGCUUGUGGCAGAACUAGAACUAAAAUUCUGGUGUACUGACUUAACCGAAGGGCUACAUAUACCAGGCUAUUCCAAGUGCCUUCGUGGGGCUCACAGACUAAUGGGCAGGGAUCAGACCGGUCGCACGUAGGAUGGCUCAGAGGUCCUGGUCCCACGUACUGCCACAACGCCCGGUUUCGGUUUCCGCACGGGAGGUACAGAGCUCUUGGCAGCCGGGGCGGGGCGGGACUUCCGGGGGCGGGGCCUGGCCUUCGUUGCGUCUUGCGCCUGCGCCUGCGCCGGCGCAUAAACCCGCGAAGCGGGGGAUUAGGUUCGCCGGAACCCACGCCUGGUCUUCUGCUUCCGGGUCGCAGCCAUGGCGGUGGCAAAUUCAAGCCCUGUUAAUCCCGUGGUGUUCUUUGAUGUCAGCAUUGGCGGCCAGGAAGUUGGCCGCAUGAAGAUCGAGCUGUUUGCGGACGUUGUGCCUAAGACGGCCGAGAAUUUUAGGAAUGCCCUCAGCUGUGAUGCCAUGGUAACUGAUUCGUUCACUCUUUUCCCUUUAAGGCAGUUCUGCACUGGAGAAUUCAGAAAAGAUGGGGUUCCGAUAGGCUACAAAGGGAGCACCUUCCACAGGGUCAUAAAGGAUUUCAUGAUUCAGGGUGGGGAUUUUGUUAAUGGAGAUGGUACUGGAGUUGCCAGUAUUUACCGGGGGCCAUUUGCAGAUGAAAAUUUUAAACUUAGACACUCAGCUCCAGGCCUGCUUUCCAUGGCAAACAGUGGUCCCAGUACAAAUGGCUGCCAGUUCUUCAUCACCUGCUCUAAAUGUGAUUGGCUGGAUGGGAAACACGUAGUGUUUGGAAAAAUCAUUGAUGGACUUCUAGUGAUGCGAAAGAUCGAGAAUGUUCCCACAGGCCCCAACAAUAAGCCCAAGCUGCCUGUGGUUAUCUCACAGUGUGGGGAGAUGUAGUCCAGAGCAAGACUGAUCAGUAUACUUCUCAACUUUAUGCUGGGGAACCAAAGGUCUGACGGAGGGCAAGAGUCAGACCAGUUCUGCUCUUCUGGGAAAAGCAGACCUUCACCUCUCUGCCAUUGUGGGCCUUCCUUGCUCUGGGUGAUGCUCUUGAGUAAGAUAAUCCGGAUUGGCCCCUGUGUUUGCUUCCCUGCCUGCUGCGGCCCUUUUUGAUCAAGAGACCUUGGAAGUGUCACAGAUUCAGAAUCCAAGAUUUUCUGUUUAAGUUUUCAAUUGUAAAUAAAGUUUUGUUUUGUUUUGGUA
Molecule: RNA transcript, 2030 nt
Organism: Mustela erminea (ermine)
Lineage: Eukaryota; Metazoa; Chordata; Mammalia; Carnivora; Mustelidae
Gene: PPIH
Gene name: peptidylprolyl isomerase H
Exons: 11
Source: RefSeq, a predicted model, not a curated record